CUUUAACCUCACCAGGAAGAAGGGGCUGGUAUCAGGCACCCCUUCAAGCCCAUUACACCUAGCCUCGCCACACCCUCAAGGGAAUUCAGCAGUGACCAACAUUAAUUAUAAACGUCAGUUUGAUCUAGUUAAAGUAUACAGAGCCGGCAAAUCUGGUGCCAGCCGCCGCGGUUACACCACGUGACUCAAAUUGAUUUUAAUCGGCGUAAAGCGUGAUUAAAUCAUCAAAAAUAUUAGAAUCAAACUUGAACUAAGCUGUAGCACGCUUGUCCCUAAGAAGCCCCAACACGAAAGUUAUUCUAAUUAACCCCACUUGAACUCACGACAACUGGGGUACAAACUAGGAUUAGAUACCCUACUAUGCCCAGUCGUAAACUUUAACUUACACCUAUAACGCCUGGGUACUACGAGCCAAGCUUAAAACCCAAAGGACUUGACGGUACCCCACAUCCACCUAGAGGAGCCUGUCCUAUAAUCGAUAACCCCCGCUAAACCUCACCACUUUUAGCUUUUCAGCCUGUAUACUUCCGUCGUCAGCUCACCCCAUCAGGGCCCCCAGUGAGCCCAACGUCCUUACAUCAACACGUCAGGUCCAAGUGCAGCAAAUAAAGUGGGAAGAGAUGGGCUACACUCUCUAAAUUAGAAAAAACAAAUUCCCUGCAUGAAACCCAGAGAAAAGGCGGAUUUAGUAGUAAAAAGGAAGCAUGAUAUCCUUUUUAAUAAGGCUCUGGGGUGUGUACACACCGCCCGUCACCCUCUUC
RNAcentral lists this ribosomal RNA (761 nucleotides) under Niceforonia elassodiscus (Cuyuja robber frog). Its description in RNAcentral is "partial 12S ribosomal RNA". It matches the Rfam family "Bacterial small subunit ribosomal RNA", at positions 265 to 1407 of the family's 1533-position model. Lineage: Eukaryota; Metazoa; Chordata; Amphibia; Anura; Strabomantidae. The record is from RNAcentral.